AAUCAUGUUGAGGGCACUGUCUUUGAAGACUCUUGAAUCUAUCCCAUGCUUCCAACAAUGAUUCUCCAUAUGCCUGAGCAAAAUUUGUUAUGCAAUUCCUUGUUAGAAU
Zingiber officinale is the source of this 109-nucleotide small nucleolar RNA. NCBI's taxonomy places the organism in Eukaryota, Viridiplantae, Streptophyta, Magnoliopsida, Zingiberales, Zingiberaceae. The record is from RefSeq and is a predicted model, not a curated record.